Ylistrum balloti is the source of this 242-nucleotide long non-coding RNA. RefSeq lists it as uncharacterized. The transcript has 3 exons. The record is from RefSeq and is a predicted model, not a curated record. Lineage: Eukaryota; Metazoa; Mollusca; Bivalvia; Pectinida; Pectinidae.
ACAUCACAACCCCUGUUAUAGAAUACUUCACACAGUAGGACAAGGUCAAAAAGGUGUCGGCUGAGAAACAGGUGGAUGAGGUCUACACUGAUGUCCAAGCUAUAUUUGAUUCACUUGUUCCUGGAAAAGCAGAAUCAGCUCCUAAAGAUAAUGUUCCUGAGACUUCACCACCAGAGGUCACUACUCAAGAGACUGUACCUCUAGAUACCUCCGUUCUCAAGGACACCAAGGUCGUGUUUGUA